This 514-nucleotide ribosomal RNA is filed under the name Salmonella enterica subsp. enterica. RNAcentral describes it as "bacterial SSU rRNA". It matches the Rfam family "Bacterial small subunit ribosomal RNA", at positions 1029 to 1533 of the family's 1533-position model. The record is from RNAcentral. Lineage: Bacteria; Pseudomonadati; Pseudomonadota; Gammaproteobacteria; Enterobacterales; Enterobacteriaceae.
GUGAGACAGGUGCUGCAUGGCUGUCGUCAGCUCGUGUUGUGAAAUGUUGGGUUAAGUCCCGCAACGAGCGCAACCCUUAUCCUUUGUUGCCAGCGGUCCGGCCGGGAACUCAAAGGAGACUGCCAGUGAUAAACUGGAGGAAGGUGGGGAUGACGUCAAGUCAUCAUGGCCCUUACGACCAGGGCUACACACGUGCUACAAUGGCGCAUACAAAGAGAAGCGACCUCGCGAGAGCAAGCGGACCUCAUAAAGUGCGUCGUAGUCCGGAUUGGAGUCUGCAACUCGACUCCAUGAAGUCGGAAUCGCUAGUAAUCGUGGAUCAGAAUGCCACGGUGAAUACGUUCCCGGGCCUUGUACACACCGCCCGUCACACCAUGGGAGUGGGUUGCAAAAGAAGUAGGUAGCUUAACCUUCGGGAGGGCGCUUACCACUUUGUGAUUCAUGACUGGGGUGAAGUCGUAACAAGGUAACCGUAGGGGAACCUGCGGUUGGAUCACCUCCUUACCUGAAAGAA